RNAcentral lists this ribosomal RNA (468 nucleotides) under uncultured bacterium. RNAcentral's name for it is "partial 16S ribosomal RNA". It matches the Rfam family "Bacterial small subunit ribosomal RNA", at positions 28 to 507 of the family's 1533-position model. The record is from RNAcentral.
GACGAACGCUGGCGGCGUGCUUAACACAUGCAAGUCGAACGGAAAGGCCCUGCUUUUGUGGGGUGCUCGAGUGGCGAACGGGUGAGUAACACGUGAGUAACCUGCCCUUGACUUUGGGAUAACUUCAGGAAACUGGGGCUAAUACCGGAUAGGAGCUCCUGCUGCAUGGUGGGGGUUGGAAAGUUUCGGCGGUUGGGGAUGGACUCGCGGCUUAUCAGCUUGUUGGUGGGGUAGUGGCUUACCAAGGCUUUGACGGGUAGCCGGCCUGAGAGGGUGACCGGCCACAUUGGGACUGAGAUACGGCCCAGACUCCUACGGGAGGCAGCAGUGGGGAAUAUUCCACAAUGGGCGGAAGCCUGAUGCAGCAACGCCGCGUGCGGGAUGACGGCCUUCGGGUUGUAAACCGCUUUCGCCUGUGACGAAGCGUGAGUGACGGUAAUGGAUAAAGAAGCACCGGCUAACUACGUG